AUUGAACGCUGGCGGCAUGCCUUACACAUGCAAGUCGAACGGCAGCACGGGGGCAACCCUGGUGGCGAGUGGCGAACGGGUGAGUAACAUAUCGGAACGUGCCCUGGAGUGGGGGAGUAACUAGUCGAAAGAUUAGCUAAUACCGCAUACGAUCUACGGAUGAAAGUGGGGGAUCGCAAGACCUCAUGCUCGUGGAGCGGCCGAUAUCUGAUUAGCAGUUGGUAGGGUAAAAGCCUACCAAGGCGACGAUCAGUAGCUGGUCUGAGAGGACGACCAGCCACACUGGGACUGAGACACGGCCCAGACUCCUACGGGAGGCAGCAGUGGGAAUUUUGGACAAUGGGGCAACCUGAUCCAGCAAUGCCGCGUGAGUGAAG
This 377-nucleotide ribosomal RNA is filed under the name uncultured bacterium. RNAcentral describes it as "bacterial SSU rRNA". It matches the Rfam family "Bacterial small subunit ribosomal RNA", at positions 30 to 410 of the family's 1533-position model. The record is from RNAcentral.